AUUGAACGCUGGCGGCAGGCCUAACACAUGCAAGUCGAGCGGAGCGGCGGACGGGGGAGUAAUACCUAGGAAUCUGACUGGUAGUGGGGGAUAACGUUAGGAAACGGACGCUAAUACCGAAUACUCUCCGAUGAGCCUAGGUCGGAUUAGCUAGUUGGUGAGGUAAUGGCUCACCAAGGCUACGAUCCGUAACUGGUCUGAGAGGAUGAUCAGUCAAACUGGAAUUGAGACACGGUCCAGACUCCUACGGGAGGCAGCAGGGGGGAAUAUUGGACAAGGGGCGAAAGCCUGAUCCAGCCAGGCCGCGUGUGUGAAGAAGGUCUUCGGAUUGUAAAGCACUUUAAGUUGGGAGGCGUUACCGACAGAAUAAGCACCGGCUAACUCUGUGCCAGCCGCCGCGGUAAUUC
Molecule: ribosomal RNA, 407 nt
Filed under: uncultured bacterium
Lineage: Bacteria
Description: partial 16S ribosomal RNA
Rfam family: Bacterial small subunit ribosomal RNA
Source: RNAcentral